AAAAAUAAAAAUACAUGCAUAUUUUACCCUCUAGAAUGACAUAGAAUAGUUCAAAGAUAAAUCCAACACUGUACAAAAAUACAUAUGGAUAUGCAUUUGUAUAUACAAAGUACAAAUACAUGCCCUAGAAAAAUUUAUAUAUACAACCAGAUUUGUAUAUAUAUACAGAUGAGUACCCAUUAGUUAAUAAAUACAUAUAUAAAUACAUUUUCGUCUUUAUAUUCUUCAAAAUCAUAUUUAAAAGAGUUUCAACAUCAGGACUUGAAAUUUUGCUUGAUUCUCUGAUUUUUUUUCCUUAGAUCUUUGUAUUUUUGGGGGGAUUUUGAAGAUGAAGGUUUCUUCAACCCUUUUUGUUUCAUUAUUUUGAUCAUCUUUUCUAGAUCAUUACAAUGCUUCGAUCUCACCUCUUCGACGCUCGCUAAUUUCUUUAAUUAUUCUGUCAUUAAAGCAAACCUCCACAAUCAUACAAUAAAAAAAUCACAAAAAAAAAAAACGUAACAACAAUGAUGAACAAAAAAUAUAAAAUAUAUAAAAUUUGGGGAAGAGAUAACAUACAACAACGGUAAAAAUACUAGUUACAUUAUUUUUUGAAGCACGAUCUUUAUCUGUUAAGGUGAAAAAAUGUAAGAAAAAAUUGGAAUUAAAAUAUGAAGAAUAUGCGCUAUUUGUAAAAAAAGAUACAGUAAAAUAGAAAAGAGAAUAAGUGUAAGAGUGAAAAUAGGAGAAGUUACUCCUUGUUGUAAACACUCAUGUAUUGAGUGGCCCCAUAAAAAAAUGCUAGUUUUGCUAUAAAAUAUAAUUUUAUGAAAGUGUUGUUAUUUAUCAUAAUUAUGAUCUUAAGCUUUUCACUUUUUGUAAUUUAAUUUGGGGCAUUUGACUUUUGUUAAAUUUUUAGCCUUUUUCAACUUGGGUUAUUCGGUCUUUUUAUAAAAAUGUUCCAGUUGUUCUUUUUUGGCUACGAAUGUUUUAACUGAAAAAUAUUCUAUUUUUUGGUUGUUUAAAAAUAAUAAUUAAAUAUAAUUGUAUAAAAACGAUAAAAUUAUUAUAUAGAAUUUGUACCUAUAUACAAUAUAUUAUAUAUAUAUGUAUGUAUGUAUGUAUGUAUGUAUGUAUGUAUGUAUGUAUGUAUGUAUGUAUAAACUAUAUAUAAAAAAUUGAAUAGAAUGUGUAUAGAAAAUUAUAGUUGUUGUAUAAAAUAGGUAUUUGAAUAAUAAUUGCAGCUAAAACUUGUAUAAAAAUUAUAUAAUUAUUGUAUAAAAUUUGUAAAAAAAUUAUAUAAUUAUUGUAUAAAUUGUGUAUCAAAACUAUAUAAUUUUUGUAUAAAAUAUGUAUAUGUAUAACAUAUGUAUAGAAACUGUAUAGAAUGUGCAUAGAAACUGUAUUGAACAAGCCAAUAAAUAAAAAUGGCUAAAAAAUAAAAUUUAAAUUCCAUGACCAUUUUCAGUGGUUGUCCCAUAGUUACACUUGCGGGGGACUAUUAGGAUAAAAACUCAGUGAUAUAUUUCACUUAGGAUACUCAUGGUAGUUAUCAAUUAGAUAUCCUUAAUAUAUUCACUAACUGCGUAUGUAUUGUGUUAUAUGUAUGUAUUGUGUUAUAUAUUUUGUCAUCAGUAAUUGUAAAACUCAAAUUUGAUUUACUAUUAAAAUUCAGUUAGUUUUAGAAGCUUAUGUACGUCACAAUCUUGGUAUUGUGUAUAUUUAAAAGGAAAUUUAAUUUUGUAGUCCUUUAUAAAUUAUUUUUUGAUUUUAUGCUUUUUCUUAGAAGGAAUUUUCAUUUUCACAUAGGAGAUUUUUAUUUUUAUAUGUAAGAGAUAUGAAGAGGUCGUUUCUUCUAUCAAAUUUUUAAGAUAUGAUUAGAGAUAAAUAAUGAGUUCAGAGCCUAAAGGGCAAUUCUUUUUAUCAAAAGUUUCAGAGGGGCAAGAGAGGAAGGAAAAAUUUCAAAGGGGAAAAGGCGUGACCUUUCUUAUGCAUACUUUUAAAACCCAACAGCUGUUAGUUAUCAAAAGAUCUAAGGCGUGAAGACAUCUUGUAAGGAAAAAGCUCUCCCACGUCUUAGCUUCUAAGAGGUUAUUUGGUAGAGUGUAUAAGAAUAAUACAAAAUAUGAUGUAUUAAUAAUGUUUACAUUAGUAGUGCAAGUAUUAGUUAUGCUUGCAUUAGUUAAGUUGAGAUUAUUUAUUAUGCGAGUUAAAACUAACUUUCAUUGCAUAUUUUUAAAUAAAAUAAUAUUUACUAAAAAACCCUCCACACAUAUAAUAAAAUGAUGUGAAAAAGAUUUUUAGGGGCUAUUGUGUCUUUACACAUGCUAAUGCACGCAUUAAAAUUCAUUGCAUUGCUAUUACCAAAGAUUUUCCAUGUAUUAUGCAUAGCAUAAUGCACAAUAAAGUUUAUAAAAAAUGCUUGCAUUAGUUAUACAUAGGUUGAAAAAUAUACCAAACAAGACAUUAAUAAUACCAAAUAAGACAUUAAUAAUACACAAAGCUAAUGCAUACAUUAUUUUUUCUAAUGAAUCAUAUCAAAUGACCCCCUUAAAUGUCGUGCCUUUUCAUGUUUGUAUAAUUAACUAGAAAUAGUCAUCAUUUCACCCCUGAACUUAUCCUCACAACUUAUUUUAAACCUUUAACUUAAUACACAUUUAUUUACCCUCCCUUAAUAAGUUUAAAGUGAAUUGAUAUCACCCCUAAUACUGAUGUGACAUUAAUUCAAAAAAUCCCCCACAUAUUUUAUUAAAAAAAUGAGAUGGUCUCACUUUUAUUUUAAUAUNNNNNNNNNNNNNNNNNNNNNNNNNNNNNNNNNNNNNNNNNNNNNNNNNNNNNNNAUAUGUACGUAUGUAUAUAUAUAUAUAUAUAUGUAUGUAUAUAUAUAUGUAUGUAUGUAUUGUAACACCCCGGAUUUUCGAUCAUUCAAAUUUCUGAAAUUUUAUCCUCACUUCUGACUACGACUCCCCUUACGACUUAUUCAUUAACUACCUAACUCAGUCUGAAAAAAUUUUAGUCAUAACCUACCUUAAAAUUCAAGAUUAAAGUAUUUAAACACAGAGUCUUCUCCUUUUGAAUGGUCUCAGAAUCAAUUACAACAUUCAAAUAUAACAUCUAUGCAUUAAAAGAAACCUAAUGAUACUCAUAUUGCCCAUAUUUAGGUCGAGUCCAAAAUAAAUUUGAAAUAAAAGGGCAAAAAUUGAAAUUUUCUUUUAGAAACAUAUUCCUCAAGGUUAUAGGAGUCUACAGUUGUAAAUCCAUGUGAAAAUAAGUUAAAACAAGGUUUAAAUCAAAGAAAAAUCACUUUUAAGCGUUACCGGUAAAAACAUCAAAGACCUAUUUCAAAAUUGAGAUUAAAGAGUGUUUUCGAAGUUAUAAUCGGUAGGAAUAAAUAGGAACAGGAUUUUGGAGCUUACCCAAGCUCAAAUGAUGAAAUAAACCCUAAACAUUGCCAACAUUUGAAGUUUUGAGGUUAAAAAAUGAUGAAAUUUAAGAAAAUGAGGUAUUUAUACUAUUCUGUGAACAUUACCUCGCAAACGCAAAUCCCAUAUCGCGAUUGUGAGGGUUUGACGAGUCCCUUUUAAAGGCCUUCAUAUUUGCAAAACUCCAUAACUCGGGCAUCCAUAUUCGUGACAACCCUGUCGCAUUCGCGAAGAAGGCAUGACCCGACCCGACCCCCAAAUGUCCUUCAUGGUCACGACUUCCUUGCAAUUAUGAUGAAGGAAAAUAUUUUUCUCUGUAAUAGUGGAUGAAGGCCCAUGUUCACAAAGAAGGAAAUGGGCCUAUAGCAGAUUCAACAAACAAACCAAGAUUUGAUAAGUUAAAAUAUUCUAAACGAGCCAUUUAGAUUUAUUUGGGACCCUACAAAAAUAAAUCGCACAUGAUACGAGGCUUAUUUCAAUGUUUCAGACUCAAUGGAUACAUUUGAUUUUUAAAACAAUAUCAUGUUCAAUAUAUUAUCCCCUGGGGACCCCUUUAAUGCAUAUUUCACUAGUUUUUCAAACGGAGGUUCAAAAUGCAAACUAAAGUCUCCAAACACAAAAAAACUCCGCUACUAAUCCAAAUUUGAUAUUCCAGAUCUAAUGGAACUAUCCAAAUCACCAUCCAACACUCAGAACAUUAAAUAUUGACUGAGGACAACUAUAGAACUUUUAAAGCUCCUAAACACCUCAAACUCUCCUAAAACCCUCCCGAAGGCAUUAAAAAUCAUACUACCCAUCCUCAUACCUCAAAAUCAAUAAGUAGAAACUAAGAAAAAUAAAAAAAAUGGCCAUAUUACUACAAAAAAAAUUUCACAAAUCAGGUCAUUACAUAGAUUCAUUCUAAGAGAGAAAAGAAAUUAAACUUAUGCAAGGAUACUGACUCAAUUAAUCAAGAGGGUUCAAUUUGAGGGAUAAGAGAAUUUACCCAAAAUUCAUAAAGGAGACUAAACACCAAUGUUGAUGCAAAAGAUAACUAACUCUAAUAUGGAAGAUAGGACUAUUUACACUAGUCUUGCAAAAAUCAUCAAAUUACAAAUAUGAAAAAAUUACAAAGAUGAUCAAAUUAUAAAAACCAUGGCCACUUGUGCCCUUUAUGAUCUCCUUAGUUAUCACCACUUUUCUUAUAAAUUUAUCUGAUCAUGUUAUGAACUUUAAAAUCUCUUUUGAUGAUCCUUUUAUUACACUUUAAAUUCUUUGUCGGUGGUUGAAAGGUUCCAUAUUCAAGAUAGUUCACAUCGUCACUUUUGCUAGUACACUUUUGCUAGUAAUCUUUGUAACUCGAUUUGCACCAUUAUCCCCUUCUUCAAAAGAAUUCAUUCUCAAAUUCAAGCCUUGUAAAAUAAAGGAGGGAACAACAAUUAGACAAAAAUUAUCAUAAUCAUUCAAAGCAUUGUCAAUACUAUAAGACGCACCCCCGAGAUCAAAAUCAAACUUUAAUUUUAUAAGAACAUCAAGAAUAACUGUAAAUAUCAAUAAGAAAUCAUCACUCCAAAAUAGAAUCAAAUGAACUCGCCCUGUCUAUGGAGUACAGAUCCGGUCUAGGGUCUCUGCUCCUGAUUGUACUUCCCUAUGUGAAGUUUUGUCGGUUCCUACUAGUCUUCAUCGGGCUUCCCAGACUGAUGAUACUCUUGCCCAAAUGCCCCAGAGAGAUAUUUCUAAUCCAGAGUUUCGCCAGUCUAUCCAUCUGCUUACUCAAUUGGUAGUCUCUCUGUCUAGCCAGUCUGAUUAUGUUGGUUUUGUUGCUCCUUCAUCUGGGGUCACUCGAGUUGAUCAGUUCAUGAGGGUGACUCCCCCAAACUCUAUACUUGUAUCACUCAAUACUCGUGUAUACACUCAAGAUC
RNAcentral lists this long non-coding RNA (5299 nucleotides) under Capsicum annuum. RNAcentral describes it as "long non-coding RNA (CANN_LNC000461)". The record is from RNAcentral. Lineage: Eukaryota; Viridiplantae; Streptophyta; Magnoliopsida; Solanales; Solanaceae.